UGGGGAAUUUUGGACAAUGGGCGAAAGCCUGAUCCAGCAAUGCCGCGUGUGUGAAGAAGGCCUUCGGGUUGUAAAGCACUUUUGUCCGGAAAGAAAUCCUUGGCUCUAAUACAGUCGGGGGAUGACGGUACCGGAAGAAUAAGCACCGGCUAACUACGUGCCAGCAGCCGCGGUAAUACGUAGGGUGCAAGCGUUAAUCGGAAUUACUGGGCGUAAAGCGUGCGCAGGCGGUUUGCUAAGACCGAUGUGAGAUCCCCGGGCUCAACCUGGGAACUGCAUUGGUGACUGGCAGGCUAGAGUAUGGCAGAGGGGGGUAGAAUUCCACGUGUAGCAGUGAAAUGCGUAGAGAUGUGGAGGAAUACCGAUGGCGAAGGCAGCCCCCUGGGCCAAUACUGACGCUCAUGCACGAAAGCGUGGGGAGCAAACAGGAUUAGAUACCCUGGUAGUCCACGCCCUAAACGAUGUCAACUAGUUGUUGGGGAUUCAUUUCCUUAGUAACGUAGCUAACGCGUGAAGUUGACCGCCUGGGGAGUACGGUCGCAAGAUUAAAACUCAAAUGAAUUGACGGGGUCAUAGCUGUUUCCU
RNAcentral lists this ribosomal RNA (585 nucleotides) under uncultured bacterium. Its description in RNAcentral is "partial 16S ribosomal RNA". It matches the Rfam family "Bacterial small subunit ribosomal RNA", at positions 355 to 1375 of the family's 1533-position model. The record is from RNAcentral.